UACGUAGGGGGCAAGCGUUGUCCGGAUUUAUUGGGCGUAAAGAGCGUGUAGGCGGCCAGGCAGGUCCGCUGUGAAAACUCGAGGCUCAACCUCGAGAGGUCGGUGGAAACCGUCUGGCUAGAGUCCGGAAGAGGAGAGUGGAAUUCCCGGUGUAGCGGUGAAAUGCGCAGAUAUCGGGAAGAACACCCGUGGCGAAGGCGGCUCUCUGGGACGGUACUGACGCUGAGACGCGAAAGCGUGGGGAGCGAACAGG
Molecule: ribosomal RNA, 253 nt
Filed under: uncultured bacterium
Lineage: Bacteria
Description: partial 16S ribosomal RNA
Rfam family: Bacterial small subunit ribosomal RNA
Source: RNAcentral